UACAGAGGUCUCAAGCGUUGUUCGGAUUCAUUGGGCGUAAAGGGUGUGUAGGUGGCGCCGUAAGUGGGGUGUGAAAUCUCGGGGCUUAACUCCGAAACUGCAUUCCAUACUGCGGUGCUUGAGGACUGGAGAGGAGACUGGAAUUCAUGGUGUAGCAGUGAAAUGCGUAGAGAUCAUGAGGAAGACCAGUGGCGAAGGCGGGGCUCUGGACAGUUCCUGACACUGAGACACGAAGGCCAGGGGAGCAAACGGG
Molecule: ribosomal RNA, 253 nt
Filed under: uncultured bacterium
Lineage: Bacteria
Description: partial 16S ribosomal RNA
Rfam family: Bacterial small subunit ribosomal RNA
Source: RNAcentral